This is a long non-coding RNA of Gallus gallus (chicken), 1772 nucleotides long. RefSeq lists it as uncharacterized. Lineage: Eukaryota; Metazoa; Chordata; Aves; Galliformes; Phasianidae. The transcript has 2 exons. The record is from RefSeq and is a predicted model, not a curated record.
CCCGUUCCCGUUCCCGGGGCGACGAAGCAGGCGUGCCCCCCUGCCCGCACCUCCGCCGUGCUCCGGACGCCGUGCCCGCAACGUACCCGCAGCCGUACGGUCGAGGAACGCGCACUCGUGCGCUGGGCGCGCACAGAAAGUUCUGGGAGCGGAGCGUGCGGGGCUGCCGUGAGCAGAGCAGCGCGGCGGGCACUGCCCCUGCGGUGAUGGACUUAAGGGAGAGUGAGAACGCUGUGCAACGGCAAUGAGGGUGAGGAAACGGGGGAGAAACAGCCCUGUGGGCAUCCGAGUGAGGGCAGAAGAUGGUCCGGGCGCAGAGCAGCAGCUCCCUGCAGCCCAGGAGAGGCCCACGGUGGAGCAGGCUGUCCCUCCACAGCCCACGGGCACCACACGGAGCAGAUCUCCCUUUGCUGCCAUGGGGGAACCUGUGGUGCAGCAGUGGAUGUGGGCUGAAGGAGAUGCAGCCCACGGAGCCCCACAGGAGCAGGGCCUGGGCCGGAGCUGCAGCCCGUGGAGAAGAGCUGCAGGGAGCAGAGGGACCGGGGGAGCUGAAGCAGCACCCAGAGGAUGGGCCCCAUGGUAUCGAGCCACAGCAGAGCAAUGCUUGGAGCUGCAGCCCAUGGGAAGGCCAUGUGGGAUCAGUUCGGGAAGGACAGCAUCCAUGGGAGGGGCCUUUGAUGGUAUCAGGAAGAAAACCACCAUAAAGCCAGACAGUAAAAACCUCAACGCCUUCAACGUACAUUUAAGAUGCACUUAACUUGUGGGAUGAGGGCUGUCCAGCACUGCUCCACGUGGCUGCAGAGCAGGAGCUCAAGAGCCAGGAGCCCACAGCAGUUUAAGUGCUCACCUGCGUAGGGUCACCGGGCACUGCAGGACCGCCCCUGCUCAGCAUUUCUUUGCUUACUUCAGUAUAAGCACUGCUCAGUCUCUUCUCCCAGGAACCACAUCUGACUGAAGGACAAACACCAGAGGAAUCUCAGGAGGAAGAGAGAUACAGAAGAAAUGUGAGGAGGCACAAAAACAACAAAAGUCUUUGAUAUUACAAGAGAUGCAGACAGACAGCAUAAUUUAACGAAUGACCACAGAAAGCAGCAACCUCAGGUUAAAAUAUUUUUAUUAUAAAAUACAUAUUUACAUGUGAAGGCACUUUAAACCGUUACAGAAGUUUCACAUACACAGUUUCAGCUGUUCGGUAAGAACAAAAAUGUUUUUUUGUACGGUCACCUACACAGGUGAAAAAUCUGAACUGCAUCCAGUUGUAGCACAUCCAUUUUUCUACUGAAGAAACACUGUGCUUAAUGACACCAGUGAGGAUCUCAGCACCAUCAGCUCUCUGCCAUUCCAGAGAAGGCCGCAGGAGUGCGGGAGGCAUACAUGUGGUAGGAAGAGAUGGAGGGGGAUGCAGGUUGAGGAUCCUUGAGGCCCCUUCCAACCCAAGGGAUCAUCAACGAUCUUCAAGGGAUGCUACAUCACAACCGAAUCAGCUACAUUCUUACCAUGCAAUACUGCUGAAAAACCUAACUCUGUUAAGACUGAGCUUACAUUCAUCAAUGAAGGCUGCAAUCAUCCUGCAAGUAAGGCUAAAUUGGGAUUCCUCAUUUCCCCUGCAGUCCAGGAGGCUUCCAGGGACUGGGUUAUGCAUUGAAGGCAUGUGGUUGUAACAGCAGAGAUGAGUGGAUCAAGAUGAAAGUUUGUUUCUAUUGUACAUUUUGUCUCACAAUCUGAAGACAAAUACUCAAACUGAGUAAAAUUAAAGGAACUGAAGAAUCUGC